RNAcentral lists this ribosomal RNA (1002 nucleotides) under Mycetocola sp. RNAcentral describes it as "bacterial SSU rRNA". It matches the Rfam family "Bacterial small subunit ribosomal RNA", at positions 438 to 1448 of the family's 1533-position model. The record is from RNAcentral. Lineage: Bacteria; Bacillati; Actinomycetota; Actinomycetes; Micrococcales; Microbacteriaceae.
AGCAGGGAAGAAGCGAAAGUGACGGUACCUGCAGAAAAAGCACCGCCUAACUACGUGCCAGCAGCCGCGGUAAUACGUAGGGUGCAAGCGUUGUCCGGAAUUAUUGGGCGUAAAGAGCUCGUAGGCGGUUUGUCGCGUCUGCUGUGAAAAACUAGAGGCUCAACCUCCAGCGUGCAGUGGGUACGGGCAGACUAGAGUGCGGUAGGGGAGAUUGGAAUUCCUGGUGUAGCGGUGGAAUGCGCAGAUAUCAGGAGGAACACCGAUGGCGAAGGCAGAUCUCUGGGCCGUAACUGACGCUGAGGAGCGAAAGGGUGGGGAGCAAACAGGCUUAGAUACCCUGGUAGUCCACCCCGUAAACGUUGGGAACUAGAUGUGGGGACCAUUCCACGGUCUCCGUGUCGCAGCUAACGCAUUAAGUUCCCCGCCUGGGGAGUACGGCCGCAAGGCUAAAACUCAAAGGAAUUGACGGGGGCCCGCACAAGCGGCGGAGCAUGCGGAUUAAUUUGAUGCAACGCGAAGAACCUUACCAAGGCUUGACAUAUACCGGAAACGGCGAGAGAUCGUCGCCCCGCAAGGUCGGUAUACAGGUGGUGCAUGGUUGUCGUCAGCUCGUGUCGUGAGAUGUUGGGUUAAGUCCCGCAACGAGCGCAACCCUCGUUCUAUGUUGCCAGCACGUAAUGGUGGGAACUCAUGGGAUACUGCCGGGGUCAACUCGGAGGAAGGUGGGGACGACGUCAAAUCAUCAUGCCCCUUAUGUCUUGGGCUUCACGCAUGCUACAAUGGCCAGUACAAAGGGGUGCAAUACCGUAAGGUGGAGCGAAUCCCAAAAAGCUGGUCCCAGUUCGGAUUGAGGUCUGCAACUCGACCUCAUGAAGUCGGAGUCGUUAGUAAUCGCAGAUCAGCAACGCUGCGGUGAAUACGUUCCCGGGCCUUGUACACACCGCCCGUCAAGUCAUGAAAGUCGGUAACACCCGACGCCGGUGGCCUAACCCUUUAUUGGGA